RNAcentral lists this ribosomal RNA (466 nucleotides) under uncultured bacterium. RNAcentral's name for it is "partial 16S ribosomal RNA". It matches the Rfam family "Bacterial small subunit ribosomal RNA", at positions 28 to 523 of the family's 1533-position model. The record is from RNAcentral.
GAUGAACGCUGGCGGCGUGCCUAACACAUGCAAGUCGAGCGAUCUCUUCGGAGAGAGCGGCGGACGGGUGAGUAACGCGUGGGUAACCUGCCCUGUACACACGGAUAACAUACCGAAAGGUUUGCUAAUACGGGAUAAUAUAUAAAAGUCGCAUGGCUUUUAUAUCAAAGCUUUUGCGGUACAGGAUGGACCCGCGUCUGAUUAGCUAGUUGGUAAGGUAACGGCUUACAAAGGCGACGAUCAGUAGCCGACCUGAGAGAGUGAUCGGCCACACGGGAACUGAGACACGAUCCAGAAUCCUACGGGAGGCAGCAGUGGGGAAUAGUGCACAAUGGGCGAGAUCCUGAUGCAGCAACGCCGCGUGAGCGAUGAAGGCCUUCGGGUCGUAAAGCUCUGUCCUCAAGGAAGAUUAUGACGGUACUUGAGGAGGAAGCCCCGGCUAACUACGUGCCAGCCGCCGCGGUAA